UGCGGCGGGAAGGGUUUGCGGUGGCCUGGCCGCUGAGGGCGGCUUCGGCUUUGCGGCGUUCGGCUUCGCGGUCGGCGCGU
This 80-nucleotide transfer RNA is filed under the name Kingella potus. Its description in RNAcentral is "tRNA-Leu(gag)". Lineage: Bacteria; Pseudomonadati; Pseudomonadota; Betaproteobacteria; Neisseriales; Neisseriaceae. The record is from RNAcentral.